CAAUAGCGUAUAUUAAAGUUGUUGCAGUUAAAAAGCUCGUAGUUGGAUUUCUGAUCGAGACAUCAGGUCGGGUCCGAGAGGAUCAUGUACUUUGAUUUUGUUUUGAUCAUCCUUGGGGAGAGCAUUUCUGGCAUUCAGUUGUCGGGAUUGGGAUCCUCAUCGUUUACUGUGAAAAAAUUAGAGUGUUCAAAGCAGGCCUCGGCCUCUGAAUACAUUAGCAUGGAAUAAUAAGAUAGGACUUUGGUGGUCUAUUUUGUUGGUUUGCACGCCAAAGUAAUGAUUAAUAGGGAUAGUUGGGGGUAUUCGUAUUCAAUUGUCAGAGGUGAAAUUCUUGGAUUUAUGGAAGACGAACUACUGCGAAAGCAUUUGCCAAGGAUGUUUUCAUUGA
This 388-nucleotide ribosomal RNA is filed under the name uncultured eukaryote. RNAcentral's name for it is "partial 18S ribosomal RNA". It matches the Rfam family "Eukaryotic small subunit ribosomal RNA", at positions 592 to 976 of the family's 1831-position model. The record is from RNAcentral.